GAUGAACGCUGGCGGCGUGCCUAAUACAUGCAAGUCGAGCGAACAGACGAGGAGCUUGCUCCUCUGACGUUAGCGGCGGACGGGUGAGUAACACGUGGAUAACCUACCUAUAAGACUGGGAUAACUUCGGGAAACCGGAGCUAAUACCGGAUAAUAUAUGGAACCGCAUGGUUCAAUAGUGAAAGACGGUUUUGCUGUCACUUAUAGAUGGAUCCGCGCCGCAUUAGCUAGUUGGUAAGGUAACGGCUUACCAAGGCAACGAUGCGUAGCCGACCUGAGAGGGUGAUCGGCCACACUGGAACUGAGACACGGUCCAGACUCCUACGGGAGGCAGCAGUAGGGAAUCUUCCGCAAAGGGCGAAAGCCUGACGGAGCAACGCCGCGUGAGUGAUGAAGGUCUUCGGAUCGUAAAACUCUGUUAUUAGGGAAGAACAAAUGUGUAAGUAACUAUGCACGUCUUGACGGUACCUAAUCAGAAAGCCCCGGCUAACUACGUG
This 497-nucleotide ribosomal RNA is filed under the name uncultured bacterium. Its description in RNAcentral is "partial 16S ribosomal RNA". It matches the Rfam family "Bacterial small subunit ribosomal RNA", at positions 28 to 507 of the family's 1533-position model. The record is from RNAcentral.